Molecule: non-coding RNA, 27 nt
Filed under: Cricetulus griseus (Chinese hamster)
Lineage: Eukaryota; Metazoa; Chordata; Mammalia; Rodentia; Cricetidae
Source: RNAcentral
UGGCACUGGGAGAUGUUAAAAAAAAUA